AAACUAGGAUUAGAUACCCUAUGGGUUUGAAUAAGAAUUUGAUAGUUAUGUAAUAACUGUGAAAUCAAAAGAUUUUGGCGGUAUUCUAAGCUCGUUAGAGGAAUUUGCUCUUUAAUUGAUACAACACCGAGAUCUUACUUGAAUUGGUUAAGUCAAUUUGUAUAUCGCUAUCAAUAAAUUAUAUUGUAUGAUUUAUAAUUAAAAAAGUUUUUUUAUUAAUAUGUUAGGUCAAGAUGCAGUUUAUAUUUAAGAAUGAAGUGAAUUAUGGUUAUUUAUAUAGGGUGCAGAUGAAAUUGUAAUUAAGAUUUAAAAGUAAAAUGGAAUUAUAAUGUCUGUUUGAAGAGAGCUCUAGAAUAUGUACACAUCGCCCGUCGCUCUCAUU
Molecule: ribosomal RNA, 382 nt
Filed under: Alveonasus lahorensis
Lineage: Eukaryota; Metazoa; Arthropoda; Arachnida; Ixodida; Argasidae
Description: Ornithodoros lahorensis partial 12S ribosomal RNA
Source: RNAcentral